Gavialis gangeticus (Gharial) is the source of this 1157-nucleotide long non-coding RNA. RefSeq lists it as uncharacterized. NCBI's taxonomy places the organism in Eukaryota, Metazoa, Chordata, Crocodylia, Gavialidae. The record is from RefSeq and is a predicted model, not a curated record. The transcript has 3 exons.
AGUGUUUACUGGAUGAUUUCAUGGCUAUGUGGCACCAGGAGAGCAGAUCAAGGAAGUUGUUAGGGUGGGGGAGGGAAAGGAUUACAAACAAGUUUGGCAGCUGGAAGAGGAUUUUUCUUCCGUAAUGCUGCAUACGUACUCUCUUCCACUGCUGACAACCACGGGCCCCUAGGUAAAUCCUCAGCCAGCCACAGGUUGUGCCUAGACUGUUCCCAUCAGCAGAGUAUCCCAGCACCUUACAGUUGUACACUAAGCAACAUUUCCAAGCACUGUGCAGACACUGAUCCCUAGAUCACUCCUGUGAAGCAGGUAGAAAAAUGAAGCCUACACACUUGCCAUCCCUGUUACUGACCUGCUUUCUUCUACAUGAGGCUGCCUGUAAACCCUUAAAACCCAAUUGUGAUCUUGUAAAAUGCAAGACAUGUCCAAAGCAACAUAUCGCGGUGGCGUCCAAGAACAAGUGCUGCGCAACCUGCGUCCCUAUGUGUUCCUGCCCUGACUACCAGGAGUUUGAAUGCAACAUGCAAGGCUUUAAAGAUGGAAAGAUCCCCCUUGGAAAGUCUUACUACAUAGACUUUGCCACCACGAAGUGCACCUGUGUUUCUCCCGGGAAUAUUUCCUGCACCUCGCUUUGCCCUACGGUUUCUCCCACGUGCAAGGAAACAGGAAGAGUGGCUGAUGGCUGCCCUCAAUGCAUCUGUCCCAUUGAGGAUUACAGUUUUGUAGUUGCUGGAAGUACCAUCCAAAGAGAUGCGGAGACUUGCAAAUGUCCCCCUGAAGGUGGCGAGCUUCAGUGCACCCCCUCUAAAUCUCACAUUGCUAGUCCACCCAGUGCCAACGCAGAGUAGGCCCUGCUCUCAGCAUGAGCUAACUGUCAGUGCCGAGGGAAGUUCUUUGUGGUAGAGGAGAAGUUCAGCAGUGUCCUUGGGCAGCUUAUGGAAAACUCACACAGAAUAUAAAAGAAAUGGACUGCCUUGCUAGAGGUGUUUUUGGUGGGGGUCCAGUGGCAGAACAGUAAAAUCAUCUCAUGAAGGCUCCAGAGAUCAUGCCCCACUCUGGAUUCAUGCCAUAGCCUAGUGAAGGGCCAAACUUUUUGGCAGGAAUGCCAUGAAUUAACCCCACACCCUCCCUGAGGGCCCGUCUGAUCCCCUUCUCCU